RNAcentral lists this ribosomal RNA (253 nucleotides) under uncultured bacterium. RNAcentral describes it as "partial 16S ribosomal RNA". It matches the Rfam family "Bacterial small subunit ribosomal RNA", at positions 524 to 776 of the family's 1533-position model. The record is from RNAcentral.
UACGGAGGGUGCAAGCGUUGUCCGGAUUUAUUGGGUUUAAAGGGUGCGUAGGUGGCUUGUUAAGUCCGGGGUGAAAGCCCACAGCUCAACUGUGGAACUGCCCUGGAUACUGGCAGGCUUGAGAGUCGUCGAGGGUGGCGGAAUGGACGGUGUAGCGGUGAAAUGCAUAGAUACCGUCCAGAACCCCAAUUGCGUAGGCAGCUGCCUAGGCGACAUCUGACACUGAGGCACGAAAGCGUGGGGAGCGAACAGG